CAGUAGCCGCGGUAAUACAGAGGGUGCAAGCGUUAAUCGGACUUACUGGGCGUAAAGGGCGCGUAGGUGGUUAUGUAAGUGAGAUGUGAAAUCCCCGGGCUCAACCUGGGGACUGCAUCUUAUACUGCGUAGCUGGAGUGCAGUAGAGGGUAGUGGAAUUUCCGGUGUAGCGGUGAAAUGCGUAGAUAUCGGAAGGAACACCAGUGGCGAAGGCGGCUACCUGGACUGACACUGACACUGAGGCGCGAAAGCGUGGGGAGCAAACAGGAUUAGAGACCCCCGUAGUCCCUGUCUCUUAUAC
RNAcentral lists this ribosomal RNA (301 nucleotides) under uncultured bacterium. Its description in RNAcentral is "partial 16S ribosomal RNA". It matches the Rfam family "Bacterial small subunit ribosomal RNA", at positions 509 to 807 of the family's 1533-position model. The record is from RNAcentral.